Acinonyx jubatus (cheetah) is the source of this 1316-nucleotide long non-coding RNA. RefSeq lists it as uncharacterized. The transcript is spliced from 2 exons. The record is from RefSeq and is a predicted model, not a curated record. NCBI's taxonomy places the organism in Eukaryota, Metazoa, Chordata, Mammalia, Carnivora, Felidae.
GGGGGAGGCUGCCAUGCCGCCUUCGGUUCCUCCACGGCGGCGCGUCAAUUACGGACCUCGCGGCAGAGAGCAUCUCCGAGCGCUGGCCCUCACGUGACGUCGUCGUUUGUGAUCCUUGACAUGGAGGCCAUAUAUGGGGAUGAGCCCCUGGUUGUGCCGGAUGCUGGACAGCCUGCGGGGUGCAGCAGCUCCUGGCUGGCCCCUCACCAUCUACGCAGAGCGAGGGCCACGUUGCGGCCCAUCCCCCCAUCACUGCGGUGACAAGGAGAAGGCAGAUACCUCUCACAUGCACUCCCUGGUCCCGCCAGUGUGGACUCGGAGCUCACAGGGAGUGCGGUGGCUGCCCCAGGCGUGCAGCUGUUACCAAUUUGGCAGGCGAAGGGCAGUGGACCGCUCCCAGGCUUCGGCUUUCACCUCGGCCUUGCUCCUUGGGGAAUCCAAAGUGGCCGGUGAGGUGACAUCACAGAGGUGUCGGCCAGCCCCGCUGCUCUGGGGACGGCCCCGGGCUUGCCCUGAUGAGGAGGGCCUGGGUUCUGGGUGUGAUGGGGCAGGGCCGGGGGCAGACCUGGCAUCCCAUUGCAUGGUGAACUCCGCGACGGUGACACGUCCUCCCACUAGCCCGUGUCCCACACAGAACUGAGAGAAAAGAAUGUUGGAACUGGAAGGCCCUAGGAGUUCAUCCGCCCCAGCACCCUUUUUCUGAGGGAAGGGAAACCGAGCUGGACAGCGAGAGGAGUUGUCAAGGCUUCGCAGAGGCCACAGCUUCCAGAAACUCCUUCCCUGCCUCUCUGCGGCUCCCUCCCAAGCUUACGGUGUGAUCUUAGCGGUUGAUCGUCACAUCGUGCUGCAGACCCUACCACCCAAGUUGUUGGGCAAAGCGGCAGGAAUCCCACCACACAGGAAGACGGGCUGGACUUCCUCGUGAGCACAUUUACGAUGCCUGUUACCCCUGCAGACUCCCAGAGAUGCUCCGGUGGGGAGGAUGUGGUUUACAAUAGACCACAAGACCCACUGAGCAGCCGGAGGCUUCAAGUAUAGGCAGUUUGGGUGUCAAUGUCAAUGUCAUUGUGCCUCAUUGUUCCCCCUCCCGAAGGUCAGGUUGGGGCCACUUCCUACAGAGCCCAGUGGCUAAAAGUCCAGACUCUGGAGUCACCGGUCAGCUCCACCGCCACUUGCUAGCUGGGUGACCUUGGACAGCUCACUUGACCUCUCUGAGCCUUGGCUUCCUGCUAUAUAAAAUUGAAAGAAAAAUGAUAGUACCCGUAGCUCAUAAGAAAAUGUAUUUAUCUUCCUUAGAAUAAAGCCUUAUAAAUGUU